UACAUGGGGUGCAAGCGUUGCUCGGAAUUAUUGGGCGUAAAGCGCACGUAGGCGGUCCGUUAAGUCAGAUGUGAAAGCCCCCGGCUCAACCGGGGAAGUGCAUCUGAAACUGGCGGGCUAGAGUACGAAAGAGGGUCGCGGAAUUCCCGGUGUAGAGGUGAAAUUCGUAGAUAUCGGGAGGAACACCGGUGGCGAAGGCGGCGACCUGGGUCGAUACUGACGCUGAGAGACGAAAGCUAGGGGAGCAAAUGGG
Molecule: ribosomal RNA, 253 nt
Filed under: uncultured bacterium
Lineage: Bacteria
Description: partial 16S ribosomal RNA
Rfam family: Bacterial small subunit ribosomal RNA
Source: RNAcentral